This 478-nucleotide ribosomal RNA is filed under the name uncultured bacterium. Its description in RNAcentral is "partial 16S ribosomal RNA". It matches the Rfam family "Bacterial small subunit ribosomal RNA", at positions 28 to 523 of the family's 1533-position model. The record is from RNAcentral.
GACGAACGCUGGCGGCGUGCUUAACACAUGCAAGUCGAACGGUAAGGCCCUUCGGGGUACACGAGUGGCGAACGGGUGAGUAACACGGGGGUGAUCUGCCCUGCACUUCGGGAUAAGCCUGGGAAACUGGGUCUAAUACCGGAUAGGACUCCUGGCUUCAUGGUUGGGGGUGGAAAGCAUUUGCGGUGUGGGAUGGGCCCGCGGCCUAUCAGAUUGUUGGUGGGGUAAUGGCCUACCAAGGCGACGACGGGUAGCCGGCCUGAGAGGGUGACCGGUCACACUGGGACUGAGAUACGGCCCAGACUCCUACGGGAGGCAGCAGUGGGGAAUAUUGCACAAUGGGCGCAAGCCUGAUGCAGCGACGCCGCGUGAGGGAUGACGGCCUUCGGGUUGUAAACCUCUUUCAGCUAUGACGAAGCGCAAGUGACGGUAGUAGCAGAAGAAGGACCGGCCAACUACGUGCCAGCCGCCGCGGUAA